Molecule: long non-coding RNA, 615 nt
Organism: Amphibalanus amphitrite
Lineage: Eukaryota; Metazoa; Arthropoda; Thecostraca; Balanomorpha; Balanidae
Exons: 4
Source: RefSeq, a predicted model, not a curated record
GGUCACGGUGCUCGGGUGAGGACGUUUCCUCAGACCGCCGUCUCUGGGCCGAGGUGCCGGCUGAACGAGGAGAGCCGUCCACUACCUUUCAGACGAGGGUACCCUAGAAGCUUCGUCUUCAACGUCCUGCCACGAUUGCAGCGGUCCAGACCGGGACAAAGGCCGACGGAGGGGCACGAGCUGCGCUGCGUCCACCGGCCGGGUCAGUCGACAUAGUGGGUGGUCCAACAGUGUGUGGACGGUACUGAGCUCUGUCCACCGGAGCCGACCACGGCGGAGGCGGCGAAUAUCAGAUGGAGAUGACAGAUGUGCGUGAAGACCUGGCCGCCCUUCGCCGGGAGGUGGCCUCCCUUCGCGAGGAGGUGGCCAAAGUCCAGGGGGAGAACGCCGCACCACACGGUGCGGUGGUCCUCCUGGAGCAAGCACUGGUUGAAGAGCGGACCACUCGCCAGACCGUGGUGGAGGAUCGCUACGGUUUGGCGUGUGGCGUGGUUCUACUCGGUUUGGCGUGUUUCUACUGCGUCCGCCGGCGAGCGGCGCCAUCCGGCCGUCCCCAGGGUAAAAUUACAAAAGCGUUUCAUGACGUCAUAGUACAGACGGAGCCCCAGCCAUCGG